RNAcentral lists this ribosomal RNA (800 nucleotides) under Pseudomonas lundensis. Its description in RNAcentral is "bacterial SSU rRNA". It matches the Rfam family "Bacterial small subunit ribosomal RNA", at positions 8 to 803 of the family's 1533-position model. Lineage: Bacteria; Pseudomonadati; Pseudomonadota; Gammaproteobacteria; Pseudomonadales; Pseudomonadaceae. The record is from RNAcentral.
AGAGUUUGAUCAUGGCUCAGAUUGAACGCUGGCGGCAGGCCUAACACAUGCAAGUCGAGCGGUAGAGAGGUGCUUGCACCUCUUGAGAGCGGCGGACGGGUGAGUAAUACCUAGGAAUCUGCCUGGUAGUGGGGGAUAACGUUCGGAAACGGACGCUAAUACCGCAUACGUCCUACGGGAGAAAGCAGGGGACCUUCGGGCCUUGCGCUAUCAGAUGAGCCUAGGUCGGAUUAGCUAGUUGGUGAGGUAAUGGCUCACCAAGGCUACGAUCCGUAACUGGUCUGAGAGGAUGAUCAGUCACACUGGAACUGAGACACGGUCCAGACUCCUACGGGAGGCAGCAGUGGGGAAUAUUGGACAAUGGGCGAAAGCCUGAUCCAGCCAUGCCGCGUGUGUGAAGAAGGUCUUCGGAUUGUAAAGCACUUUAAGUUGGGAGGAAGGGCAUUAACCUAAUACGUUAGUGUUUUGACGUUACCGACAGAAUAAGCACCGGCUAACUCUGUGCCAGCAGCCGCGGUAAUACAGAGGGUGCAAGCGUUAAUCGGAAUUACUGGGCGUAAAGCGCGCGUAGGUGGUUUGUUAAGUUGAAUGUGAAAUCCCCGGGCUCAACCUGGGAACUGCAUCCAAAACUGGCAAGCUAGAGUAUGGUAGAGGGUAGUGGAAUUUCCUGUGUAGCGGUGAAAUGCGUAGAUAUAGGAAGGAACACCAGUGGCGAAGGCGACUACCUGGACUGAUACUGACACUGAGGUGCGAAAGCGUGGGGAGCAAACAGGAUUAGAUACCCUGGUAGUCCACGCCGU